RNAcentral lists this ribosomal RNA (301 nucleotides) under uncultured bacterium. Its description in RNAcentral is "partial 16S ribosomal RNA". It matches the Rfam family "Bacterial small subunit ribosomal RNA", at positions 509 to 807 of the family's 1533-position model. The record is from RNAcentral.
CAGUCGCCGCGGGAACACGAAGGGUGCAAGCGUUAAUCGGAAUUACUGGGCGUAAAGCGUGCGUAGGCGGCAUGUACAGUCAGAAGUGAAAUUCCUGGGCUCAACCUGGGGACUGCUUUUGAUACGUGCAGGCUAGAGUGAGGAAGAGGGUUGUGGAAUUUCCAGUGUAGAGGUGAAAUUCGUAGAUAUUGGAAAGAACACCGGCGGCGAAGGCGGCAACCUGGUCCUUUACUGACGCUGAGGCGCGAAAGCGUGGGGAGCAAACAGGAUUAGAUACCCCAGUAGUCCCUGUCUCUUAUAC